ACAGGAUUAGAUACCCUGGUAGUCCACGCCGUAAACGAUGUCGACUUGGAGGCUGUUCCCUUGAGGAGUGGCUUCCGGAGCUAACGCGUUAAGUCGACCGCCUGGGGAGUACGGCCGCAAGGUUAAAACUCAAAUGAAUUGACGGGGGCCCGCACAAGCGGUGGAGCAUGUGGUUUAAUUCGAUGCAACGCGAAGAACCUUACCUGGCCUUGACAUCCAGAGAACUUUCCAGAGAUGGAUUGGUGCCUUCGGGAACUUUGAGACAGGUGCUGCAUGGCUGUCGUCAGCUCGUGUUGUGAAAUGUUGGGUUAAGUCCCGCAACGAGCGCAACCCUUAUCCUUUGUUGCCAGCGAUUCGGUCGGGAACUCAAAGGAGACUGCCGGUGAUAAACCGGAGGAAGGUGGGGAUGACGUCAAGUCAUCAUGGCCCUUACGAGUAGGGCUACACACGUGCUACAAUGGCGCAUACAAAGAGAAGCGACCUCGCGAGAGCAAGCGGACCUCAUAAAGUGCGUCGUAGUCCGGAUCGGAGUCUGCAACUCGACUCCGUGAAGUCGGAAUCGCUAGUAAUCGUGGAUCAGAAUGCCACGGUGAAUACGUUCCCGGGCCUUGUACACACCGCCCGUCACACCAUGGGAGUGGGUUGCAAAAGAAGUAGGUAGCUUAACCUUCGGGAGGGCGCUUACCACUUUGUGAUUCAUGACUGGGGUGAAGUCGUAACAAGGUAGC
This 728-nucleotide ribosomal RNA is filed under the name uncultured bacterium. RNAcentral's name for it is "bacterial SSU rRNA". It matches the Rfam family "Bacterial small subunit ribosomal RNA", at positions 772 to 1500 of the family's 1533-position model. The record is from RNAcentral.